GAGCUUGGCGGUGUUUUAGACCUCUCAGGGGAACCUGUCUCAUAAUCGACAAUCCACGUUAAACCUAACCUUUGAUAGCAAUUCAGCCUGUAUACCGUUGUCGUCAGGUAACUUCUUAAAAUAUAGUAGUUAGCUUGAAAAUCUUAUUAAUUAAAACGUCAAAUCAAGGUGCAGCUAAUAAAAAGGUGAAGAUGGGUUACAAUUACAUAUUUGUAAAUACGGAUAAACAUUUGAAAGAAUGUUUUAAAGGAGGACUUGAAAGUAAUUUUAAUUAUAUAAACAAAAUGAAUGAGGCUCUGAAACGUGCACACAUCGCCCGUCGCUCUCGCUGAAAAAUGAGAUAAGUCGUAACAUAGUAGGGGUAAUGGAAAUUGUUCCUAGGC
This 383-nucleotide ribosomal RNA is filed under the name Conus antoniomonteiroi. RNAcentral describes it as "partial 12S ribosomal RNA". It matches the Rfam family "Microsporidia small subunit ribosomal RNA", at positions 780 to 1304 of the family's 1311-position model. Lineage: Eukaryota; Metazoa; Mollusca; Gastropoda; Neogastropoda; Conidae. The record is from RNAcentral.